CGAUGAUGAUCCACAGAGACAUGCAGAUAAGACUGGUCGAGUUUGUGAAGAAACGGGUGGUUCUCCUCGAAAAGGCGUUGAAUUUGGAAUAUGCAGAAGAGUAUUAUGGAAUCGUUCCACCGUCAAUCUCAGCUGUUGUUGACAGAAACCCACCUUUGAACGAGCUGUGGAAAACUGUCGAUGAGAACAAUCGUGAAUCUGUCGAGACAUUUAUG
This is a long non-coding RNA of Tarenaya hassleriana, 215 nucleotides long. RefSeq lists it as uncharacterized. The record is from RefSeq and is a predicted model, not a curated record. NCBI's taxonomy places the organism in Eukaryota, Viridiplantae, Streptophyta, Magnoliopsida, Brassicales, Cleomaceae. The transcript has 4 exons.